RNAcentral lists this ribosomal RNA (842 nucleotides) under Saccharopolyspora hirsuta. RNAcentral describes it as "partial 23S ribosomal RNA". It matches the Rfam family "Bacterial large subunit ribosomal RNA", at positions 1 to 779 of the family's 2925-position model. The record is from RNAcentral. Lineage: Bacteria; Bacillati; Actinomycetota; Actinomycetes; Pseudonocardiales; Pseudonocardiaceae.
AGUGGGUGCGAGCAUCUUUGUGGCCAAGUUGUGUAGGGCACAUGGUGGAUGCCUUGGUACCAGGGGCCGAUGAAGGACGUGGGAGGCCGCGAUAGUCCUCGGGGAGUUGUCAACCGAGCUGUGAUCCGAGGGUGUCCGAAUGGGGUAACCCAGCCCGAGUGAUGUCGGGUUACUCAUGCCUGAAUGUAUAGGGUAUGAGGGGGAACGCGGGGAAGUGAAACAUCUUAGUACCCGUAGGAAGAGAAAACACUGGUGAUUCCGUGAGUAGUGGCGAGCGAAAGCGGAGGAGGCUAAACCGUGCGCGUGGGAUACCUGGUAGGGGUUGCGUGUGCGGGGUUGUGGGGCACUACUGGGCGGGUCUACCAGUCCGCCAGCAUGUCCAUGUCUGCUAGUUGAACGGUUUGGGAAAGCCGGCCGUAGACGGUGAGAGCCCGGUAAGCGAAAGCAGUUGUGGUGUGUGUGGUGGUGUUCCCGAGUAGCAGCGUUUCCGUGGAGGGUGCUGUGAAUCUGGCGGGACCACUCGCUAAGCCUAAAUACUUCCUGGUGACCGAUAGUGGAUAGUACCGUGAGGGAAUGGUGAAAAGUACCCCGGGAGGGGAGUGAAAGAGUUCCUGAAACCGUGUGCCUGCAAUCCGUCAGAGCAACCGUUGUAGUUGUGAUGGCGUGCCUUUUGAAGAAUGAGCCUGCGAGUUACUGCUGCGUGGCGAGGUUAACCUGUGUGGGGUAGCCGGAGCGAAAGCGAGUCUGAAGAGGGCGUGUGAGUCGCGUGGUGUAGACCCGAAGCGGGGUGAUCUACCCAUGGCCAGGGUGAAGCGCGGGUAAGACCGUGUGGAGGCCCGAAC